UAAAAGUGUUUCAAACAUAAA
RNAcentral lists this non-coding RNA (21 nucleotides) under Caenorhabditis elegans. The record is from RNAcentral. Lineage: Eukaryota; Metazoa; Nematoda; Chromadorea; Rhabditida; Rhabditidae.